Molecule: ribosomal RNA, 255 nt
Filed under: uncultured bacterium
Lineage: Bacteria
Description: partial 16S ribosomal RNA
Rfam family: Bacterial small subunit ribosomal RNA
Source: RNAcentral
GAUGAACGCUAGCGACAGGCUUAACACAUGCAAGUCGAGGGGCAGCGGGGAUGAGAGCUUGCUCUUAUCUGCCGGCGACCGGCGCACGGGUGAGUAACACGUAUGCAACCUGCCCAUCGCAGGGGGAUAAGCAGAAGAAAUUCUGUCUAAUACCGCGUAACAUCUCGCGAAGACAUCUUUGUGGGAUACAAAGGAAGCAAUUCCGGCGAUGGAUGGGGCAUGCGGCGCAUUAGCUAGUUGGCGGGGUAACGCCCA